GGCUCAUAAAAACACAACGCUCUGUCCUCAUCUACUUUCUUCACUAGCUCUGGCACUGUGCACCUUCUGGUUCUUCCCUAGAGUUAAAAUGACCAUGCAAGGGAAACAUUCUGAAUCUAUGCAGGUUAUCAAGGCAGCCGUGACAGUGUAUGAAAUGAAAGAGGAAUUACAGACGUUCUGCAGAAAGUGAUGGGAAGACUGAGGGUCAGAGAGGUGAAGAACUUAGAAUCAUUCAUCCAGCAAAUGGCAGACCCAACGGUGGACUCCAGGCUCACUGGCUCCAGGAUCUGUGGCCUUAACCACUGUCCCAUGGGGCAUUCCUGCUGGAAGAGUCCAAGUUAUUCUGGCUGCAGGUUGGAGGACACUCUGCCAGUAGAAAGGGUGUACAAGAGAACAGUUACACUGCUCCACAGAUCAAGUUCCCGAGUGGUGUGUGAACUGAGCUGGUAGUGGUAUGCCUGGAAAGAGCAGAGUUUGAAUACUGAGGAAAUGAAAUCAGCACAGCCAGGAGCCAAAGUGAAUGUGUGGAGG
RNAcentral lists this long non-coding RNA (531 nucleotides) under Heterocephalus glaber (naked mole-rat). Its description in RNAcentral is "lncRNA (ENSHGLG00100042998.1)". The record is from RNAcentral. Lineage: Eukaryota; Metazoa; Chordata; Mammalia; Rodentia; Bathyergidae.